GACGUAGGGUGCGAGCGUUGUCCGGAUUUAUUGGGCGUAAAGAGCUCGUAGGCGGCUCUUCAAGUCCUGCGUGAAAUCUCGAGGCUCAACCUCGAGCGGUCGUGGGAAACUGGAGGGCUAGAGUGCGGGAGAGGGAAGUGGAAUUCCAGAUGUAGCGGUGAAAUGCGCAGAUAUCUGGAAGAACACCCGUGGCGAAGGCGGCUUCCUGGAACGACACUGACGCUGAGACGCGAAAGCGUGGGGAGCAAACAGG
RNAcentral lists this ribosomal RNA (253 nucleotides) under uncultured bacterium. RNAcentral describes it as "partial 16S ribosomal RNA". It matches the Rfam family "Bacterial small subunit ribosomal RNA", at positions 524 to 776 of the family's 1533-position model. The record is from RNAcentral.